GGUUUAAUUCGAUGAUACGCGAGGAACCUUACCCGGGCUUGAAAUGCAUCUGACCGGCCUUGAAAGAGGUUUUCCCUUCGGGGCAGAUGUGUAGGUGCUGCAUGGUUGUCGUCAGCUCGUGCCGUGAGGUGUCGGCUUAAGUGCCAUAACGAGCGCAACCCUCAUCAUAGUUACCAUCAGGUAAGGCUGGGGACUCUAAUGAGACUGCCAUCGUAAGAUGUGAGGAAGGUGGGGAUGACGUCAAAUCAGCACGGCCCUUACGUCCGGGGCGACACACGUGUUACAAUGGGUGGUACAAAGGGCAGCUACCUGGCGACAGGAUGCUAAUCUCCAAAACCACUCUCAGUUCGGAUCGGAGUCUGCAACUCGACUCCGUGAAGCUGGAUUCGCUAGUAAUCGCGCAUCAGCCACGGCGCGGUGAAUACGUUCCCGGGCCUU
RNAcentral lists this ribosomal RNA (438 nucleotides) under uncultured Proteiniphilum sp. RNAcentral's name for it is "bacterial SSU rRNA". It matches the Rfam family "Bacterial small subunit ribosomal RNA", at positions 943 to 1382 of the family's 1533-position model. The record is from RNAcentral. Lineage: Bacteria; Pseudomonadati; Bacteroidota; Bacteroidia; Bacteroidales; Dysgonomonadaceae.